GACGAACGCUGGCGGCGUGCUUAACACAUGCAAGUCGAACGAAAAGAGGGAAAGAGCUUGCUCUUUCCGGAAUUGAGUGGCAAACGGGUGAGUAACACGUAAACAACCUGCCUUCAGGAUGGGGACAACAGACGGAAACGACUGCUAAUACCGAAUAAGUUCCAAGAGCCGCAUGGCCCAUGGAAGAAAAGGUGGCCUCUACCUGUAAGCUAUCGCCUGAAGAGGGGUUUGCGUCUGAUUAGCUGGUUGGAGGGGUAACGGCCCACCAAGGCGACGAUCAGUAGCCGGUCUGAGAGGAUGAACGGCCACACUGGAACUGAGGCACGGUCCAGACUCCUACGGGAGGCAGCAGUGGGGAAUCUUCCGCAAUGGGCGAAAGCCUGACGGAGCAACGCCGCGUGAGUGAUGACGGCCUUCGGGUUGUAAAACUCUGUGAUCCGGGACGAAAAGGCAGACUGCGAAAAACAGACAGCAUUGACGGUACCGGAAAAGCAAGCCACGGCUAACUACGUGCCAGCAGCCGCGGUAAUACGUAGGUGGCAAGCGUUGUCCGGAAUUAUUGGGCGUAAAGCGCGCGCAGGCGGCUUCCCAAGUCCCUCUUAAAAGUGCGGGGCUUAACCCCGUGAUGGGAAGGAAACUGGGAAGCUGGAGUAUCGGAGAGGAAAGUGGAAUUCCUAGUGUAGCGGUGAAAUGCGUAGAGAUUAGGAAGAACACCGGUGGCGAAGGCGACUUUCUGGACGAAAACUGACGCUGAGGCGCGAAAGCGUGGGGAGCAAACAGG
Molecule: ribosomal RNA, 781 nt
Filed under: uncultured Dialister sp.
Lineage: Bacteria; Bacillati; Bacillota; Negativicutes; Veillonellales; Veillonellaceae
Description: bacterial SSU rRNA
Rfam family: Bacterial small subunit ribosomal RNA
Source: RNAcentral